GGCUGGUUCCGAACAUAGUGAGUUCUCUCAGCUGAUUGUUUACGGUCAAUUGCAAAUGGAAAUGCUUGUUCUAUUUCUUUCCCUCUUCUUACUACUGCACUUGACUAGCCUAAA
This is an unclassified non-coding RNA of Rhinopithecus roxellana (golden snub-nosed monkey), 114 nucleotides long. It matches the Rfam family "Y RNA". From Rfam's summary of the family: Y RNAs are components of the Ro ribonucleoprotein particle (Ro RNP), in association with Ro60 and La proteins. The Y RNAs and Ro60 and La proteins are well conserved, but the function of the Ro RNP is not known. Lineage: Eukaryota; Metazoa; Chordata; Mammalia; Primates; Cercopithecidae. The record is from Ensembl.